This is a long non-coding RNA of Mauremys mutica (yellowpond turtle), 988 nucleotides long. RefSeq lists it as uncharacterized. The record is from RefSeq and is a predicted model, not a curated record. NCBI's taxonomy places the organism in Eukaryota, Metazoa, Chordata, Testudines, Geoemydidae. The transcript is spliced from 2 exons.
CCGCUGCGCGGGGCGGGCUCCGCACACCCGGGGCGGGGCACCAGCCCGAGCAGGGGCCCUGACGCGCGGGAUCGGGCCCGGCCACGGUCCGCCCGGCUCCCACAGGAUCUGGGCCGCGCGACCCCUACUCCCCCCCCCACCGGGGGCAAGGCCUGAGGUGGGCCUAGGACCCCCCCGCCGCCACAGGGAGGGGCCUGAGGACGGCGCGGGGCGCGGCCCUCACCUGCCGGAGCAGCGCCUGCUGCUCCCCGCCGCCUGACCUCAUAGUCCCCGCGGCGUGACUCCCGCCGCCGCCGCCAUUCAAAGCCGCCCGCGUCCAGGCCCCGCUUCCGCCUCCGGGGCUGUUCCGCGCGCUGCCUGUUGGUGCCACCCAUCAGGCGCUCCUAAGGCCACCCCCCCCGCAGGGACCCCGAACCGGAAGUGACGACGGCAAGGGAGCUGAAACGAUAGCGUCUGAAGCGGGCAACUACGGCUCCUGCGCAGUACGGGCACUACGCGUCCCGGGUCUCCCGGCGUGCCUCGCGCCCAGCGUCCCCGGGCCGGGAAACCAGCUCCAGUCCCGUGCUGCAGAGCUUCUUGUACCCACUGAAGGAGACACAAGGGGCUACGUUACGAAAAGAGUAAUGGGAUGACCCUGAGCAACCAGAGCUGUUUGAAGGCACUGCACUUCUGUGGUAAAAAGUGUGAAGACAGAAGGAAGCUGAAAGAGGAACCACUAGGGCCGGCUGUUUAAAAAACCCGCACAUAUACAACACUAACACUUCAGUAAAAGUGAAAUCUCACCUUCACAGAGCACAGAAACUGACUUAUGAUCUCCCCUAAUGAGAUCUCAACCAAUAAUUGUCACAAACUGUAGGAUAAUGGCUGCAACAUGCCAAUUAUAGUUAACUUAUUUAAGCCUCAAGGUAAUACCUCUCUCUUGUAGGCAAGGUGGGUUUGACUCUUACGUGUUUCAAAUGGACAUUAAACUUGAUAAUAUGAACAAACA